Molecule: ribosomal RNA, 548 nt
Filed under: uncultured Glomeromycotina
Lineage: Eukaryota; Fungi; Glomeromycota
Description: SSU rRNA
Rfam family: Eukaryotic small subunit ribosomal RNA
Source: RNAcentral
UUGGAGGGCAAGUCUGGUGCCAGCAGCCGCGGUAAUUCCAGCUCCAAUAGCGUAUAUUAAAGUUGUUGCAGUUAAAAAGCUCGUAGUUGAAUUUCGGGGUCAGUAGGCUGGUCGUGCCACGGGUAUGUACUGGUCUUACUGAUUCCUCCUUCCUGAUGAACCGUAAUGCCAUUAAUUUGGUGUUGCGGGGAAUCUGGACUGUUACUUUGAAAAAAUUAGAGUGUUUAAAGCAGGCUAACGCUUGAAUACAUUAGCAUGGAAUAAUGAAAUAGGACGAUCGAUCCUAUUUUGUUGGUUUCUAGGAUUGACGUAAUGAUUAAUAGGGAUAGUUGGGGGCAUUAGUAUUCAAUUGUCAGAGGUGAAAUUCUUGGAUUUAUUGAAGACUAACUACUGCGAAAGCAUUUGCCAAGGAUGUUCUCAUUAAUCAAGAACGAAAGUUAGGGGAUCGAAGACGAUCAGAUACCGUCGUAGUCUUAACCAUAAACUAUGCCGACUAGGGAUCGGAUGAUGUUAAUUUUUUAAUGGCUCAUUCGGCGCCUUACGGGAAA